Podarcis lilfordi (Lilford's wall lizard) is the source of this 69-nucleotide non-coding RNA. The record is from the annotation of a GenBank genome assembly. NCBI's taxonomy places the organism in Eukaryota, Metazoa, Chordata, Lepidosauria, Squamata, Lacertidae.
GCUGUAGCUCGGUGGUAGAGAAUCUACUUUACAUGCAGAAGGUCCCAGGCGCAAUUCCUGGUGUCUCCA